CUUUGAGCUAUGGAAUCACUAAACAUUAGCACCAAGAAUGGCCUUGAAAUAAGCUGAGAUCAACUCCUUCAUUUCACAGAUAAGGAAACUGAGAACAAGCAGAUAAAUUGCUCAGACACGGACACUCAGCCAAGUGAAGGCCCUGUUACAACUAAAUGGAUAAGGAGAUUGUACUUUAUUCUGCGUGUGAUCAGAGCUUACACAGGCAUUGAGAGGGGGAGCCAUAGCCAGUGAGUCAUGUUUCCAAACCAUCACCCUGGCUACUACAUAGCGAAUGAACUGUCAGACACCAAAAGGCCACUGUCAGGUGACUCAGAAGUUUAGGGAUUUACCCAGGAUGGUUAAAAUGAAGCUACUGAGAGAGACAGAGUUGCAUUAGUUUUUAAGAGUCUCAUCAACAGGAUUCAGCAAUGGUUCUUAAGGAAGGAGUGGAAAAAGGCAUCAGAGACCAGGUUCUAACUGCAUUUUAUGCUCCUGGAAUCUUGUCAUGGAUGCAUUUGAAAUUGUACAGCCAAGAGGAUACCUCAACCCAAACAAUCUCCAGAAUUUCAAAAUUUACAUGUGGGAAACAUAAUGAUUCAUCUCGAAAUUUGCAUAAACCUUGAAACCUUGGGAAGAAUAACCUAAAAACAACAAAGCAGUGCAGUAAAUGUUUGGGUUAUAAUAUUUGCAACUUGAGCAAUUACAGCCACACAUUCAUAUUUCCUACCACUGAACAUUGACAAAGGCCAUGCCCAGCACUGCUUGAUGAAACACACAGAGUUAGUGAUCAAAGGCAUCACUGCUCUCUUCAAGGGGAAAGAAUGUGGCAAAAUUAGGGCAUAUAUUCUGCAGAAAGAGCUUCCUGGUAUACUUUUCAUCAUCACUAUCCUUUGAACAUAUUAUCCACAGGAAGAGAAUGCUAACCUAUGAUAUUUUGGGUUAAACCACAGCAUUGAGCACACCAUUCAUUCCAGAGGAGUUUCUCCAUGCCAGUAUGUGUCUUCAAUGGCAGUCUCUAAGAGGCUAAAUAAAGAGGAUGAUGAUUACAUCUUACUUCUAAAAGGAUUUUUCUUGGCAUGGGGGUAUACUGGGAUUAUGAAAAACAAGGAAACAGAGAGUAGAGCCCCAGCAACAUGAUUAAUUAGUUCGGAGAGACUUCAGCUACACAGUUUUUUUUCAGUCAUCCAAAAUACUGGAAUUUGUCUAGAAACCACUCAGCUGAGACCAUCUCUUUUCCCUGGCACUGCCAGCAGUAAUAGUGACCCAAUCGUGGACACCAUGUCAAGCCUGAAAAUGAAAUCAGCAUUGCAGAAGGACAAGCCAAGAGAUGGGGGAAAAACUGAGUCUUGAUGGCAUUGCCUUAGGUCUUCAGUCAAGAGUUAUGUGAAGAGGAUGGGAUUAAGAUGGUGGAAUAGAAGGACUAGAGCUCAACUUCUCUCCUAAAAUCAACACAAUUCACAACUAAAGGCUGAACAAUCUUCAACCAAAUGGACCAGAAACUCUAAAAAAGAUAUCCUACUCCAGAAGAAAAAGAGGAGGCCACAUCAAGAGGUAGGAG
Molecule: long non-coding RNA, 1540 nt
Filed under: Sus scrofa (pig)
Lineage: Eukaryota; Metazoa; Chordata; Mammalia; Artiodactyla; Suidae
Description: lncRNA (ENSSSCG00060007060.1)
Source: RNAcentral